This 253-nucleotide ribosomal RNA is filed under the name uncultured bacterium. Its description in RNAcentral is "partial 16S ribosomal RNA". It matches the Rfam family "Bacterial small subunit ribosomal RNA", at positions 524 to 776 of the family's 1533-position model. The record is from RNAcentral.
UACGUAGGGGGCUAGCGUUGUCCGGAUUUAUUGGGCGUAAAGAGCGCGUAGGCGGCCGAGUAAGUCCGACGUGAAAUCUGGAGGCUCAACCUCCAGCGGUCGUUGGAAACUACUCGGCUAGAGUCCGGAAGAGGAGAGUGGAAUUCCUGGUGUAGCGGUGAAAUGCGCAGAUAUCAGGAAGAACACCCGUGGCGAAAGCGGCUCUCUGGAACGGUACUGACGCUGAGACGCGAAAGCGUGGGGAGCGAACAGG